Molecule: ribosomal RNA, 730 nt
Filed under: uncultured bacterium
Lineage: Bacteria
Description: bacterial SSU rRNA
Rfam family: Bacterial small subunit ribosomal RNA
Source: RNAcentral
AACAGGAUUAGAUACCCUGGUAGUCCACGCCGUAAACGAUGUCGACUUGGAGGUUGUGCCCUUGAGGCGUGGCUUCCGGAGCUAACGCGUUAAGUCGACCGCCUGGGGAGUACGGCCGCAAGGUUAAAACUCAAAUGAAUUGACGGGGGCCCGCACAAGCGGUGGAGCAUGUGGUUUAAUUCGAUGCAACGCGAAGAACCUUACCUGGUCUUGACAUCCACGGAAGUUUUCAGAGAUGAGAAUGUGCCUUCGGGAACCGUGUGACAGGUGCUGCAUGGCUGUCGUCAGCUCGUGUUGUGAAAUGUUGGGUUAAGUCCCGCAACGAGCGCAACCCUUAUCCUUUGUUGCCAGCGGUCCGGCCGGGAACUCAAAGGAGACUGCCAGUGAUAAACUGGAGGAAGGUGGGGAUGACGUCAAGUCAUCAUGGCCCUUACGACCAGGGCUACACACGUGCUACAAUGGCGCAUACAAAGAGAAGCGACCUCGCGAGAGCAAGCGGACCUCAUAAAGUGCGUCGUAGUCCGGAUUGGAGUCUGCAACUCGACUCCACGAAGUCGGAAUCGCUAGUAAUCGUGGAUCAGAAUGCCACGGUGAAUACGUUCCCGGGCCUUGUACACACCGCCCGUCACACCAUGGGAGUGGGUUGCAAAAGAAGUAGGUAGCUUAACCUUCGGGAGGGCGCUUACCACUUUGUGAUUCAUGACUGGGGUGAAGUCGUAACAAGGUAACC